This is a non-coding RNA of Salarias fasciatus (jewelled blenny), 82 nucleotides long. Lineage: Eukaryota; Metazoa; Chordata; Actinopteri; Blenniiformes; Blenniidae. The record is from the annotation of a RefSeq genome assembly.
GAUGUUGUGUCCGAGAGGUUAAGGCGAUGGACUCGAAAUCCAUUGGGGUUGCCCCGCGCAGGUUUGAAUCCUGCCAACAACG